RNAcentral lists this ribosomal RNA (172 nucleotides) under uncultured bacterium. RNAcentral's name for it is "partial 16S ribosomal RNA". It matches the Rfam family "Bacterial small subunit ribosomal RNA", at positions 118 to 290 of the family's 1533-position model. The record is from RNAcentral.
UGGGCAACCUGCCCUCAGCUCUGGGAUAACUCCAAGAGAUUGGGGCUAAUACCGGAUGUGACCGCUGACCGCAUGGUCUGGUGGUGGAAAGAUUUAUCGGCUGGGGAUGGGCCCGCGGCCUAUCAGCUUGUUGGUGGGGUAGUGGCCUACCAAGGCGACGACGGGUAGCCGG